This 642-nucleotide ribosomal RNA is filed under the name uncultured bacterium. Its description in RNAcentral is "bacterial SSU rRNA". It matches the Rfam family "Bacterial small subunit ribosomal RNA", at positions 8 to 651 of the family's 1533-position model. The record is from RNAcentral.
AGAGUUUGAUCCUGGCUCAGGAUGAACGCUAUCGGCAGGCUUAACACAUGCAAGUCGAGGGGUAGAAGUUUUCGGACUUCGAGACCGGCGCACGGGUGCGUAACGCGUAUGCAAUCUACCUUCUACAGAGGGAUAGCCCAGAGAAAUUUGGAUUAAUACCUCAUAGUAUUAUAGAAUGGCAUCAUUUUAUAAUUAAAGUUCCAACGGUAAAAGAUGAGCAUGCGUCCCAUUAGUUAGUUGGUAAGGUAACGGCUUACCAAGACGAUGAUGGGUAGGGGUCCUGAGAGGGAGAUCCCCCACACUGGUACUGAGACACGGACCAGACUCCUACGGGAGGCAGCAGUGAGGAAUAUUGGACAAUGGGCGCAAGCCUGAUCCAGCCAUGCCGCGUGCAGGAAGACGGUCCUAUGGAUUGUAAACUGCUUUUGUACGGGAAGAAAUACUCCGACGUGUCGGAGCUUGACGGUACCGUAAGAAUAAGGAUCGGCUAACUCCGUGCCAGCAGCCGCGGUAAUACGGAGGAUCCAAGCGUUAUCCGGAAUCAUUGGGUUUAAAGGGUCCGUAGGCGAUUUAGUAAGUCAGUGGUGAAAGCCCAUCGCUCAACGAUGGAACGGCCAUUGAUACUGCUAGACUUGAAUUACU